AGUGAACGCUGGCGGCAGGCCUAACACAUGCAAGUCGAACGGCAGCACAAGAGAGCUUGCUCUCUGGGUGGCGAGUGGCGGGCGUGUGAGGAAUGCAUCGGAAUCUGCCCAUUUGUGGGGGAUAACCUCGGGGAACCGGGACUAAUACCGCAUAUGACCUACGGGUGAAAGCAGAGGAUCUUCGGACCUUUCGCAGAUGGAUGAGCCGAUGCCGGAUUAGCUAGUUGGAGGGGUAAAGGCCCACCAAGCCGACGAUCCAUAGCUGGUCUGAGAGGAUGAUCAGCCACACUGGGACUGAGACACGGCCCAGACUCCUACGGGAGGCAGCAGUGGGGAAUAUUGGACAAUGGGCGCAAGCCUGAUCCAGCCAUGCCGCGUGUGUGAAGAAGGCCUUCGGGUUGUAAAGCACUUUUGUUGGGAAAGAAAAGCAGCCGGUUAAUACCCGGUUGUCAUGACGGUACCCAAAGAAUAAGCACCGGCUAACUUCGUG
RNAcentral lists this ribosomal RNA (490 nucleotides) under uncultured bacterium. RNAcentral describes it as "partial 16S ribosomal RNA". It matches the Rfam family "Bacterial small subunit ribosomal RNA", at positions 29 to 507 of the family's 1533-position model. The record is from RNAcentral.